RNAcentral lists this long non-coding RNA (202 nucleotides) under Elaeis guineensis (African oil palm). RNAcentral's name for it is "long non-coding RNA (EGUI_LNC003777)". The record is from RNAcentral. Lineage: Eukaryota; Viridiplantae; Streptophyta; Magnoliopsida; Arecales; Arecaceae.
AAAGGCACUAUAUGGUGCAUGAUCAAAUCAUUAUUACUACAUAGAAGUGCCAUACAUAGUUCUGAAGUAAGAAUAACAUGCCAAUGCCUCUGUUUAACAGGGUAGUUUUACUAGCAAUGAUGUAAGGAGUACUGCAUACAACAUUGUGUAAGUCGUGGGAACAUUUAAGCUUCCUUUGGCAUGUGCAUUUUUUGUCUUGCAU